Molecule: long non-coding RNA, 655 nt
Filed under: Polistes fuscatus (common paper wasp)
Lineage: Eukaryota; Metazoa; Arthropoda; Insecta; Hymenoptera; Vespidae
Description: uncharacterized LOC122513345
Source: RNAcentral
UUGAUUCUAAUUCGCGUUUGUGAACGCAACUGGAGGGACCGAAUUAGACGGCUGAAAUUUCGCGGUUAAUACGAAAAUAUACGAAAAUAUACGAACUUGACCGAACGUUGACGCGAGCUGACGUACGCGUGCUCGUGCGCGCGCCACCGUUCGUAAACAUUCGGUUAUGUUCGUGGGGAAUGCGCAAAUACGGGCGAAUAGGAAUUACGAGAAGUGGGGGUGAAAAGCGGCGCUGUCGAAUUUCGCGCAUGUUCCCCACUCAUACAGAUACCGGUCGCAGCGCUGGAAACACGUAUAGAGAGAGUGACACCAUGCCGCUUCGUUAAAAAGAGGGUUGGUCAAACUGAUGCUCAAUGGCGCUUACUGACAAGUUACCAGUUUUUUUAGCAACAAAGGCGUCUCUCUCUCUCUCUCUCUCUUUCCCUCCCUCUCAACCAACAACAUUUGACAAUCUAUUUUCGGCACUUUAAUCUAUAACUCAGGUGAGCUAAUAUUAAAUCGAAUCAUUGCCAAUGAAUUAUUUAGGGAAAAUUUCAAUGUACUACUUUUUUAAGUAUUCUUGAACGAUAAAUGUGAAUGUACUAACACGGGACACUAUUUAAACGAAGGCUACUAUCGAACCGGUCUUACUACGGAAAUCACGGAGAAGGAGAUG